Molecule: long non-coding RNA, 21039 nt
Filed under: Arabidopsis lyrata
Lineage: Eukaryota; Viridiplantae; Streptophyta; Magnoliopsida; Brassicales; Brassicaceae
Description: long non-coding RNA (ALYR_LNC001927)
Rfam family: MIR862 microRNA precursor family (bases 20282-20391)
Source: RNAcentral
UUUUUUUAACAUCAAAUCAUAACUUUAUUAAUGUGAACCAAAGAUUACAUUGUUAAAACAUAAGGGUAUGAACACAAUCAAAUAGAUUUGUAACGAAAAAGCAAAAAAGUUCAAGCGCCGCAAUCCGAAUGAUAUGCUUAGUUGCUUUCGUCGUAUCCGUCAAUCUUGUGUGACUCUCUAGCUUUGGAAACAUCUUCUUUUUAUCGAUGCACCAUCUUUUACGCUUUCGAAAGUCAAAGUCUGCGAUCCAUCCGUUACAUCGCAAGACCCUAGAUUUGGGAACUCUCCUGAAGAAAGAGAUAUGAAGUUUUGUGAUUGUAGCGUAAACCCAUACUUGUUGUUGAUCUGAUCUUCUGAUUCGCAUCAUAAUCGCAUCUCCAUCCUCCGUUGUGGGUUGAUUCCAUGGCGGUUUUCGUGGUGGUCGUUGUCUCAUUAACAAAUCCAAAGAGAUUUGUAUCAACCAUCGAAAAGCCACGAAACAGUGGUCUUCGGAGACUACCAUAAAACUAACAAAAUAUGUUAGUUUCGAUAAAAACUCGGGUAAUACAUACCGGAUAUGCCUCGGCGACUUCGCCGGAAAAGACCUUCACCACGGAGGACCGGAUGAGACAUGGUAUAUAGACUUGAGACUCCCGCAAAACGGUUCCUUUUUCAUCGACCAGAGGUAUUACCGUCCCAUGAGACGGGUUCGCUUCUGCCUUCGGAUCUGAUAUCCACUUGACAUGAAAGUGGUGAAUGUUUGUUGCCGGUGUAAGCACGAACACGGAUAAAGUCACCAUCCGAAGGAAAACCAUAGAUCGGAAGAGAUACCGGUGGAAGAAAGUGUCGCCCAUCGAAAGAAACAGAGACAGAAAGUAGAACAAAACUAAAUAAAUAGAAAGGAACCCGACCGACGCCGAAAAGUCCAGCGCUGGCCGGAGAAAAUGUCUAACGGCGGCGGUUACUUGUAUAAAGUUGCGAUUGUCUUUCUAAUCGCCCUCUGCGAGAUAGUUUAUUUUGAUUUGGUACCAAUAAUUUCAUCCUCCAAAGUAAGCAACCAAUCAAAAGAUUAGUUUUAAUUAUUAUUUGGUUGGAAAAACAAACGUGGUAGCAAUACUUAUGAUAUGAACCGAACCAAACUUAACAAAGUUCGAAUCAAGUUAAUUUGGCACAUUUUUCAUAACUGAAGACACUGAAAUUUUGAGUCUAGCCGGACUAAAGUUUCCGAUCUCACAUCCACCCAAAAAAUGAAUUUUCAUGGUAACAUUCAAAAACCAACAUAAUUAAGUGACAAAUACCACCAUAACCAUUACUCACUCCGUUUCGUUUUAGUUGUCGUUUAAGGUUUUCUCACACAAAUUAAGGAAAUCAUUAAAUUUUCUGUUUUACCAUUUAUUAAUAUAUCUUAUAAAUUUUUUCAUUGGCCAAAACAUUAAAACAAUAGGGAUAAUACUGGAAUUUUUACCAAACAUUUGCAUUGAAAACCUAAAACGGCAACUAUUACGAAACAAAAUUUAAGUCCUAAAACGACAACUAAAACGAAACGGAGGGAGUAUUUAUUCUCUCUAUGUUUGAUCCGAUAUUUUUUUCUUUUCCACCAUUGGUACCAAAAUAGGUUUAUAGACGAACCGACAAACAAAAUGUAAAACUCAACCAAUCUAAUUGUUUGCCACAUAAAGUUUUUGCCCCUAAAAUAAACAGAACAAGAAAGAAGUUGUGAUCUGGAAAAUUCACACCCCUAACGAAUGAGACAAUGUCCACUUGUGACUGCAUGAGAAUGCGAGAGACCGGCCAAUGAGAUUAAUUUGGGACUUACGUUUGGGGUGACUUACUGAUGCGGACAUCCAAAUCAAAUCAAAUCAGGAGCAUACCAAACCAACCGAUACAUGUAUCAAAGCGGUAGAUAUAUGAAACAUUUUGGAGGAUUCUUGCCCAAAUAGAGUCCUAAUCAAGUACAAGGCCUAAGAUUAAUUAUUCACCUGCAAAUUAAUCCUAAGAAGACUAAUAAUGGUUCAAGAAGAAUCAAUGAAGAGUGAGCCGAAUCACUAUAUUGUGGGAAUUUGACUGUUGCAUUCUUUUUCCCUUAUCUAGGUUUUGUCCCAAUGGGUUUACCUAUAAAGGUUUUUAACGAGGCAACAUCAAGUCAUCAAGGAAUCAUAUACCAAGCAAUUGAUUCGAAGAUGUUACAAGUACAUAUAGUUGAUGUACUUGCUGACGGACCGGCUGAACUACUCACUGAACUACUUGUUGAAUUACCCUCUCAAGUACUGCUCCAAAUGAAGCCAAACAAGGAAAUCUUCCUUAUUCUACACUUGGACGCACCUCAAAGCUACAUAUGGAAACCAGGAUAAUAUCUAGGCCACACAAGACAUGUACCACAUGAACUUUGGUACACCUUACCACACAAGAACCCGCAGAGUUACUACUUGCCAUAUAUGGAGCCGAAGAAGAUCAACUUGCAAUAACUCUUUUCUUCUUUGUUUAUGCGCUUGUGUGAGAAUCUUGAGACCCUCCAGAAGCUUCCAGGACGUCACAACUAUCCUUCCCAAGUUGACAAGAUACAAGGCACAUCUUACUUGUCUUACUUGGACCGAUUCUACACUUAAUGGUCCAACGGCCAUAUUUCCAUUAAAUGGUGCGAUUUGUUUAUUUUUUUUAGAGAAUUAGAAUAUUGUAGAUGAGCCUAUAUAAACUCAUUAUUUCGUUCAUUUUAAAACACCCUUGAUCAUUUUAAAGUAAUAAAAACGUUUCUUCUUGUCAAAGUUUGAGUCUUUGUCAUUUUGUUCUUCAGUUCUUUGUCAGUGAGUCACUUAGUACUUUAGAAAUCUGCGGAUUAAACUUGUUGAGUGAUUCAACAUCUUUCAUUCGUUCAUUGAUCGCCUAAGUCGAUUAUCCCACUGAUUGAGCAAGUCAAUCACCACAUCUAUCCAUCGUACCAUCCCUGAUUCACGAAAGAGUGCUUCAGAGCCAGCUCGUGAAUUCCACCCUUCUGCGUGAAAAGCUUUGAAUCUCUUGAUCAUUAAGUGAUCUAAAAGUUGGAGUGAUUCCAAUCUUGUAUCACUUACUUCUAUAGGCAAGAGACCAUCAUCACAAUAUCAUAUAGUCGAGCUGACUUACUUUUGGUACACUGCACAUUUUCCAAUGGAUGACAUGUUGGUUGAUGGCUAAGCCGGUGAGCAACUCAACCUUUAACAUUUAAUGUGAUACAUUUAAUAUUCAGUGGCUGCUAGACUUUAUGAUAUGAUAACUCUCUGGUUUCAACUUAUGCCUGAAGGUGCUCUUCGCAGCUCUUUCAUGUCACUGGGGUACCAAUCUAGCCCUAGGCCAUUUUUGAUUGGAUUGGCUUUGGUGAUGGAUAGCCUAAGUCAAAAUUCACUCUAAUAAUAUUUAUAACAAAUACUUUUUCGAUUAUUUCAACAAAUCUAUGAUACAACAAAUUGUGAUCACCAGCAUAUUCAAAAUACUUUUAUUUUCAUGGCAUUAAUCUUUUACAAAUAGCAUAACAAAUUUGGAAUCAUGGAACGACCUCGACAUUUUUUGUUGAGCUCAAUGGCCAACGAACAAUGAACUAAUUAUCAAUCCCUAUGUGAUCAACUUUGUAUAGGGAUUUAUGAAGCCUAGGAGUGAUAAAGACUUCAAGAGAAGUGGCUUUGUGAUUGACCAAUCCAUUGCUCUCUGUCAUGUCCACAUCUUGGCUCGAUGGUUUUGCCAAGUCAAAGCUGUGCAAAAACCUAGCUAGGAGAUAGUGCACCAUCUUCAUACCUAGAGGGAUCGCGGGGCAUGACCUUCGUCCCAAACCGAACGGAAAAAACUUGUAACUCUGCCCACCAACAUCCACUUCUCUAUUAGAUGUCAAGAAUCUCUCUGGCUCGAACUGUUCGGGGAUGGACCAAACACUUGGAUCCCUAUGAAUCUUCCAUGCACUCACCAUCAAUUGUGUCCCUGAAUAGUUAAAUGAACUAUUUAUGUUAGAGAUGAUAACAUUCAUUAUGAUCAUAUUUGUUGAACUUUAAUCUCAGAUUAAUUGGUAAUGUACGUAGAAAAAGUAACAUGAAUUUUUUUAAGUACUAAGAAGUUUUGGGGCUAUGCUCGUACAUCCUUCAGGCCAUGGACUAGAGCAUUGAAUAUGGUUCUCUCCCAAAUGCUACUCAAACCAGCGAUUUGUAGGCUUUGCCUCAAAUACUUUACCAAUUGAGCUAUUGGCACUUGGUAACUUAUGAAAUUUACUAGUUUUAUGUGAGAUUCAAAACAAAAAAAAAAAAAUUAGGUUAAUUAAGUCAUUUAAUCACUUUGAUUACCUGCAGGCACAUGACAGUUGCAACAUGCAAUGUCGAAAUCUUCCAUCACAUCUCUGUAAGCAAUGAGAGGGACUGGUGGAUACAAGCGAAAUGUCUCCUUGACAAUGGCUUGGAGGUAAACCAAAUCUUUGAUAUCUAUCUCUUCCACAACUCUCUCCUUUCCGAUUUUACUGUCAAGCUCCUCCUGAGCUUUCCUCAAUACAUGCGGAUUGUUCAACAGCAAAGAUACAGCCCAAACCAGAACCACAAUGGCCGUCUCGCUCCCAGCCAAUACCAAGUUCUUGCACCCAAAAAAGUUCACAAUUAAUAUAAAUUACAUGAUUAUAAACAUUUAUGACUACUCCAACCCGGAAUUUGAGGAUAUUAUAGUUUAUAUAGGUCUUACGAGGCAGAUGGCUUUGAUUUUCGUGUGAGUAUCGCUCAAACCCGGAAUCUUGUCUUGUCCCAAUGUCUCAAUGAGUAUAUCCAAGUAGUCAUUUACACUCCUACCGUGAUCACUCCUCUUGUUCUUGUGUUCUUCAACCCAACGUUCAGUAAUUUUAUCCAACUCUUUAGCCGUUCUCUUCAUUCCUCUCUUGAUCUUCCACUCCAACAAACCUAGAGCCGGUGCCACAUCAGACAACAAAAAUAGUGAGAAGUAAUCUAAAAACUCGCGAAUCAGCUUCCCGCAUCUCCUAGCUUCUUUCACUUCGCAGUUAGGGUAUUCACCAAAGUAUCUCUUCCCCGCGACCAUCAUCAAUGAGAUGUUCGCGGUUAGAUCUAUGAACUCUUGCUUCAUGUCCACCAAGACUCCUUCUUUAGGCUUACCUCUUUGCUCCCACCUACCGUAUAAAUUUCCAAAUGCCAAGUCAGCCUCACGGGCUCUACUAAACAUGAGCAUAUCAAUUCCCGAGGUCGAAAAAAGCUCGGAUGCUGCGAUCUUCCGCAUCUCUCUCCAGUAAAGACCAUAAGGACUAAAGGUCAAGAACGAGUCGUUGUAGCCAAGAAUCUUAGACGCAGUAAGUUCUGGCCGUUCUAGUAGCUUGUCGUGGACCGUGUAGAUCUCUUUGGCGACCUCUUUGCUGUUUAUGACCAUGACGUUGAGAGAGCCAAGCUUUGCCAUGAACACCGGUCCAUAGACGUCAGCCAUUGCCCCAAACGUAACGUGAGUUGGGUUUACGGUGUCAAAUAGAUGUAAAUGGCCGAGCAAUGGCCACGCUCCGGGGAUCAUAGGUGCCGUAUUCGUCCUGUUCUUGGGACGAAGCAGAGACUUUAUUAAGCAUGAAACAGAGAAAAUAAAGAGAGCAGAGAGAAGAAAAAGCUGAGUUAGAUCCAUGUAUGGCUGAUUUGUUUUUUGUUUGAGGUACUUGUUGCAAGCCUUUAUUAUAUAUAUAUAUAAUAAGUUUUCACCAACUCCUACAUUAUUUUAUAAAUAUUUUGUUUUUUGAAUAAUUUUGCGAAAUGGAUGUUUUUCUUAAACAUAAUUGUGAUCCUGGACUCCUGGUACGGGUACAUUCACUAUAAUUGUGAGAAUACGCCUAUUUUGCUAUACACGUCUCAAUGCAUCUCUCUUAUAUCCCUACCCAAACAUCUUAUUAAGUAAAAAUUGUCAAUAAGAAAAAAAAUUAGUUCCUCCUUUCCUUUUGUAUGAAGAUAAAAGUAUACUCAAGGAAAAAAACUUUCUCUCUAUCAUUUUCUUAAACUUUUACUCCUUCUCUUUUUCCUCUAAAUCUUUUUAAUUGGACUUGUUACGACGACAACAUAUUUAUUUUUAAAAAUUUUAAUCUGAAUCUAAAAAGUUCAAUUUUAUGGAUAUGUAGCUCUUUAUUUUACUUUAUCUGAAUACGAUGGUGUACAAAAUAAUAUACAAAGUCGGUGUACGAUAAUAAUGUAAAAAAUGGUUUACAAGAUCCAAGAUGGUGUGCAAACGACAGUUACAGUGGUAUAUCACUAUAUGAUAUGGUUGUGUACGACGAUAAUGUAAAAGGUGAUAUAAAGACGGUUGUGUAUGAUACAUUGGUGUACAUAAAUGAUGUAAGAAGUAGUAUACGGGAUAUGACGGUAUACAAUAUGGUGUAAAAAGUAUUAUUUUACAAAUCUCAAAAAUAUUUACCAAUAUUGUAACCAUUAACCUCAAAAUAUAAUUGAAAUCAUAAAAGAAAAAUUAUUAUUGAACAAUAUAAAAUAUUCCGUUUACAUACAAAUUAUUGCAAAAUGCUUAAUUGAAUACGCAUUCCGUCAAUCCAAACAAACAAAUUAAUCCUACUUAGUGUAACUUAUUAACACUAGUCUGAAUUCUAAUUGGUUUAAUAAAAAGACAAGAAAUAACUAAAUAUAACAACUCAAAGAUGACUUAUUGAUAAAUUAAAAGCUUACUAAAUUUCAAAAUUCCCAAGAACCCCAAAAUAAAUAAAAACUCUUUUAUACCGUAUGCUGCGUGGAAAUAAUCAUCCUCGAAACUAAUUAUGCCUAUAAAAUUUCUUCAAAUCCUUAAAAAUUUCCGACUAAACAAAUUUGUUUUGACGUAAAAACAAUAACAUAUGUAAACGCCGAGAUAAGUAUAAUUGUUGUCUCGUGAGUGAAGAGAAUCUAAGAAGGCAAAUCUUGUAAAGUGUUGCUUACUUGUUUCCUGGUCUGUUCUUUAUCCUUCUCUAAUGAUAAGUUCCAAACCUUGUAAAUUAGGACGCCGAAUGAAACUUUUCAGUUUUUAAGCUUAGAGUAUUGUAAAGAAAAACUUUCAGUUUCUUCUUGCUCCGCAUCUCUUUUUUUUUUUUUUGCUAAAUAUGUUAAUAUCAUUAUAAUGAAAAAUAGGCUUUACAAAAGAGUAGAACCUACGAAAGAGUAGCCGAGGCAAAAAGAAUAAAAACAAGGCUACAAUAGAAUUAGGAAAGAUUUGGGAUGCUUAUCGAAUCCAAAGAAUAAAAACAAGGCUACAAUAAAAACAAGGCUAUCCGCAUCUCUCUGUUUCAAGUUUUUGUUCCGAGAAUGUUUGUGAAAGUUCUUGAAAAACUAGUACAUAUUUUCCUUACACUUCCACACCAUAAUACAUACAAACUUAUAUAGAGAGUAAGCUAACUACUCUCUAAUUUUACUAACAACUACACAACCACUCCCACUAGUCUUAGUUUUUACUAGACUUGAACAACUCCAAUAGCUUAAGCAGACUAAUAAGUCUAUCUUGUUUAGCUUCACUGAUUUCCUUACUUGGUUUGAAUACAAAAUAAGCAUUACUCAACAUAGAGUCAUCAUAGACUUCUUAUAUGGGAUGAUUGGCGGUUGAGCAACUGAAAGCGUUGAGAAUAUAUGAGCGCUUCAUUGAAUCAAUUUGCAUGGUUUAUGAAUUAUGACAAUACAUGUUUCCAACGCUCAACGCAUCACAUGGUUCAACUGUUUAGUAUAUAGACAAAAAAUCUCUCUUUAGAAUCACAACCCGUAUCAACAGUGUUUUUAGGCCACGAACCGACGAUCUUUACAGAUAUAUUUGUAUAUAUAUUGCUAUUAUUAGUAGAUAAAAAUAUGUUAUGUUAUUUUUAUAUUAAACUAGAUUAGGACCCGUCCGAUAUACGAAUUUAAAUUUUUUAAUUCAAUUAAAUUUAAUAAAAAGAUGAGUGUAGAGUCAAGAUGGCUAACACUCUCGGGGGUAACAGUUUUGAUGCGCAACAAGGACGUUGCGGUCUAUUAGUGGGCUAAAUUGUAACAUCCCGAUUUCAAGAAAUAUGGUGGUGCAUGAAGAGAUGUUUAAAAUAAUAUAUUUGGUCACCUAUGUCACCAAAAAGCACUUAUCUUUUCAGUCAAACAUAUGGAGAGAACUCUAUAGAUAAGCGUGUUUGAGGUGGAACAAUUUCAGGAUGGAUGACCUUCCAGGCAGUGAUUUUUGGAACUGUGUGAGUGAAGACAAAACACUGAAAAAGAUCAUGUGGUGAUUUGUAGGGUCGGUAAACAAGUCUUUAAAGCCUCACGGAUAUAGCGUACUAACUGUCGGAAGAUGGUUGGCGCACAGACCGAGAGUGUAACAUCCCGAACCCAGAAUGGGGGGGGGGGGUGGUGUCGAUCGACACCAGAUGGUGUCGCUCGACACCAAUAAUUUCUGGUUUGACCGGUUCGCUUUAAAUCACUAGUUUAGUCAGGAACUGAUUGGGAAAAACCCUAGGUCUCAUUUUAAAAACGACACAUCCUCCUCUCUCUCCAUUCUUUGAGUGUUUGGUCGUUCCAGAGAAGAGAGAAAGAGAGAGUUGGCCUUGUGGUUGAUCUAAAGAGGAAAGAGAAUGGUUUGAGUGAGUUAAGGAGAGAAGAAAAGCUUGUUUUUGGUGUUAGCAAGAGGAGGAGGAGUAGAUCAGCGGCUGUGGGUUGAGAGAAGGUUGUUGUGGUACUGGUUGGUGCUGUUCUUUGUCUCAAAUCAGUCCUAAAUCGAGGUGAGUGCGUGACCAUGGCUUACCUAAGCAAGUUGGGGAAGUUUUGAUGCUUUGUUUGAGUGUAUAGGUUUAUUGAGAAUGAUAUGAGGUGUGAUUGUUGGUUGAUAUGAUCCGGUAUGCUUGUACUCGUGCCUUGGAUCGUGAGAGACUCGACAUAGGCAGCAGAGAGCCGAGCUGGGAGAGGCGAAGUGCAUUUUCCAGGUCUGCUGCGGCGUCGGUGUCGAUCGACACCAAGGGUGUCGGUCGACACCACUCGGAUAUCUGGUGACGAUCGACACUAGAAGGGUGUCGGUCGACACCAGGUCUGGCUGGUAGUUUUUCAGCUUCCUAAAAUUGCCUGGUUUGAUUUGUUGAUUGGUUUUGUUUUGCUGUCUUGAUUUUUCUAUCUUGCUUAUGUGUAUAGCCGGUUGAUGGGAGGAUCACAUCACUAAGUAUUUGUGAUAAUACUUAUGCAUCUCUUUCUUUAUGGUGCAGAUAAAGAAAAAGUGUGACGUGGAAUCAUGACAAGGAAGAGCGGAUGAUCUAGGAACUCUUUUUGUUGCGUUUUAUUAUGUUAUUGGAACCCGUUUUAGAGUUAUGCUAGGAUUGCUGGUUAUUUCUAGAUAUAUUGGUUGGAUUGUUUAUUUUUAAGAAAUUGCAAUUUGACUUGCUGGUUGCUGUUGUUCUAUUGGUUGAUUUAAUUAAGUAUUUAUGAGGAUAUUUAAUUAUGUUUAAAAAAAAACCGGGUCGGGGCUUCACAAUUGGUAUCAGAGCCUUUACGCUCCUAGGACGGUUUAGAAAAUUUAAUUGGAACUGAUUGAAUUUUCGUGAUGUGUGAUGUUAAAACGGUGGUUGUUUGUGCUGGAAAAAAUUGAUUAUGAGUAGUUGGUCAAUUUGAAUGAGCAUGGAGUCUUAGAAUCCUCCUCUUCGAGCCUUCAAUGAGAUUCCACGGUAAGUUGUUUUGUAUUUUUGGUAUGAUGUCUUGGUGUAUUUAGUUUAUGCUUGUGAAAGUGCAAUUUGAUGUCGGAGCUAGAGGUUAUGGAUGGGGACGUGGUCGAACCCGCAUGGAUCUGGUAGCGGGUGAGGGUGUGGCACAGAGUGCUACAGUUGAGCAGGUCGUGGAUUUGCAUGUAGAUCAGGAGGGGUCUGAGGGUUUGGCCAAAAAAUGACAAAAGUCAUGUAGCAAAUAUAUAAUGUUCAGUCUGAUGUUAUUUUUUAAAUUUUUUUUUAGUCUUAAGUUAUUUAGUGUAUAUUCUAUAAUUCCUUAUAAGAUUUUCUCUUUUUGUUGAGGAUAUUUCAUAUUAAUAAGUAAAGUUACAUGACAUGGAUAUAGACGGUCUCAUAUUUUCUCUUCUUUUAUUGUCACAAUUUUAUUAUGACGUCAAACUUUUCUAAACAAAAUCAUAUAUUUACGUAUCUCAUACUAUAUGUUUACAUAUUAUACAUAUAUAUCGCUCAUAUAUUUACGUAACUAUAUAGUUUUAUCUUUUUUUAUUGUCAUAGUUUUGUUUGCAUCUUCCCCACAUUGAAUUUAUAAGAUGUAACACACUAUUAUGAUGGAUGUAAAUAACUUAUUAAAAUUCAAUAAUACAACAUAUGAAUAUUUAUGACUUCAUAACUUAUAAUAAGCAAAAAAUUAUAUAAUUUUAUAAAUAGGCCAAUAUUUAUAUUAGAUGAUUUAAUAAUUAGUAUAACAUAACUACAAUUAAUGUUUUAUAUUGCGUAUUAUGCUAAUAAAUAUAUAUUUAAAAAUAAUUAUGCUGUAUUUUUUAAAAUAUACUCCCUCCGUUUCGUUUUAGUUGUCGUUUAAGGUUUUCUCACACAAAUUAAGAAAACCAUUAAAUUUUAUGUUUUACCCUUUAUUAAGAUAUUUUAUAAUUUUUUCAUUGGUCAAAACAUUAAAACAGUAGAGAUACAACUGAAAUUUUUACAAAACAUUUGCAUUGAAAACCUAAAACAACAACUAUUAUGAAACAAAAUUUAAAUCCUAAAACGACAACUAAACUAAAACGGAGGGAGUAUAUGUUAAUAGAAUUUUAGUUAACCUUACAAAAAUAAAAUAAAAAUAUUAAGAAUGAUAAUCUCGACCGGCAAUCCGUGCAACGCACGGGUUCAUAUCUAGUAUAAUAUAUACUAGAGCUAAUGCAUUUCAAAAAUAAUUCAAAAAUAUCUAAGUUAAUCUGUUUAUAUAAUGAAAAAUUGACAAUGAUGGGUUAGUCAAAUAGAUUUUUUAUUCGGUUUAAUUCGGCAGAAUUUUAGAUAAUUGAGUAAACCAAAUACAUCGAACCGAUAAACCGGAUGCAUUACAUCUUCAGAGAAGGUAAUUUAACUAGAGCUAAUAUUUUACCAUAAGAAGGAGACCAAGGCUAGUUUGCCACUGAACCGGAAAUGAGAAUCACGACUGCCACUUUAGAGUCUGAAUGCCAUCCAUAGAGUGGAUAAUACACUUAUACCCUUAAUGAUUUAUCUGAUUUAAUUAAAAACAAAAACAAAAUUGAAAUCGAGUUGAGGGAGAGAAAUCUCAAACUCGAUCCAAUCUCAACAUUUUCCAUCUCUGUCAUCUCUCCCCUGACACGCUGAAGAUUCCCCGGAGCUGCUGAGAGCUCGAUUAUUUGGCCGUCAUCUGUUACUUGUUAGAUUUGCUUCUCCUUGUUCACUUUCUUGAUUUUGUAUCUAAGAAUUCGUCUCUCUGCCUCCUCCGAUCUCUCUCCCUCUCGCCGUGGAUUGAGAUGGAGAGCUUACCAACGACGGUCUCUGCUAAAUCAGACCGGCGAGGUAGGCCUUCUAAGUCUCAGAACACCUCCAAGCCCUCUCUUAUCUUAGCCUUCUUCUCCUGUCUAGCUUGGCUCUGGCCGGUACGUCCCUUUUUUCUCCAUUUCCGACUGAUUUCAAUUCCUGUGAGUAUUCAAAUCUCAUUGAUUCUAGAUUUGUUCUUCUGUCGGAAUUGAAUUGUUUAGAGUUUUGAAGAUCGUGAUGGUGAUGGAACAUUGUUUUCAUAGUUGUUGAUAGAUCUCGAAGAUGCUAGAUUCUUCCGUUUUUCUACAUUUUUCCACAGAUUUGUUGCCAGUCUAGAUUUCUAUAAUUUCAGAUAUAAUUGUAUUGCAAUGUGUAUUUUGGGUUUGAGUUCCAUUACAGUAAUCUACCAAUCCCAAGCUCAAAUUCGAUCACUGGAUCGGUAUCAAUUGGUUCUGAUCUCUAAUAUGGUGUUGUUCUUACCUUUAGGUUGUGGCAAGAUGCACAGUACAGAGCAGCACUCAAUACUGUGCUUAAGAAGAAUUAUGAUCAGGUUGGUCUUUCUUGUGCCUCUCUUGAAUAGAAGAAACCAGUAUUCAUUCAAACGGGUCAUUUUCACUAAUCAAAUGUUUUGUCUUUUCAUCAUGUUCUUGUGGAGUAUAUAGAGGCCUAAGGUUCUUACGGUGGAGGACAAGCUGCUAGCCCUUGGAUGCAAGUAAGUUGGAUUCUUUUCUCAUAACAUGUUUUUCUGUUCUGCAUGUACUAAUACACAAUGUAACUGUUUUAUAGAGAUCUUGAGAGGAGAAUUGUUGAAACUGGAAUGGAGUUGGCACAUGCAAAGAGUCAAGUAACGUUGAAUUGAAUGUUUGUAAAGCCGGUGGAUGGUUGGCGUCUCUUUGUGUAGCAGGGUUCAUAGCUAUUGCAGUGAGAAAAAUGGUGAAAACCAAGUAACGUUGGUUAGAUAGAGACUAGAUUUGGUUAUUAUAUUAUUGCUAACGACGUUGUACUUUGGGUAUUUUAAUUUCAAAGUAAAUAUAUGAUAUUGUGGAAGGUAAAUUAUUAUUACAACUUGGUUCGACUAGGUACAACUAAGAACAUAUUUGUAUACGUAUGUGUACUAUAAACAAAUAAUUUUAAAUAAUUAAAACUCGAAUUUAUCAUUUUCCUAAUCUAUAAUAUUAGUUCACUAGUUAAAUUACGUUCAUUGUAUUAUAAUUUUUAUUAAAUUAUAAAUUAAGAUUUCCCUUAUUUCCUUCGUACCACACAGAACGACUACUUCCAGAUGAAUGCAAUCGCGGAUUUUGUAUCCUAUUUCCGAUGGAGAGAAGUUGUUGUGAUCUUUGUGGAUGAUGAGUAUGGUAGGAACGGGAUAUCUGUAUUAGGCGAUGUUUUAGCAAAGAAACGUGCCAAGAUCUCAUACAAGGCUGGGUACAACUAGAUUGACCGACUAGUACAACUAAGACCAUAAAUAUAUUGGGUACAGCUAAAACUAUAACUAUAACCAUAUAUGUAUCAGUAUAUGUACUUGUCGUAUUCAUACAACUAUGUUCAACUGGGUAUAAUUAGGUUUUGACAAGGUACAACUAAGACCAUAAAUGUAUCCGUAUGUGUAUUCAACAAAUAAGAAAAACGAUAAAUUAGAGUUAACAAGGAUUCCAAAAACAUGUUGAACUAAAAAAGAAACAAUUUUAAAUAAAGAAAACUUGAAUUUAUCAUUUUCCUAGUGCAUACUAUUGUUUUCAUAUGAAACACUCCUUAUAGUACAAGGAACACUUUGUAGGUGAUCACUUCUUUUGAUGCAAAAUAGGUGAAAAUUAUGAUUUCGUACAAAUUGUAUUAUGAAAACUUCUUAGAUGAUAAUUAAUAGUGUAACAACAUAUGUCCAACUUAAAAUUACUAAUUUUUAUUAAAGUCCAACUGAAAAUACGCAAAAAUCGCCAAAGUCCAACUAUGAACAUGUGAGUACAACUGGACAACUAAUACAACUAUGUUUAAAACAAAACAAUUUUUUAUUAAUAUCAUGCUGUCUUUGGUCCACUUUAUCACACGUGUGAUGAUUUAAAAAUAAUAUCCCGCCGCCAAAAAUGAUGCUUACGUGGAUCAUAUUUAAUUUUUUUUUUUUUUUGCUUCUUUGAAAUUUAUUAAAAAUUGUUUUUUAAAAUGUUAUUUUUAAUUGUCUCAGUUGUACCAAAGUGAUCUAGUUGUACUUUCUUAUAAGUAAUCCAUACAUAUAGUUGUACCUAAAUAGACUAGUUGUACCUACAAAACCAGUUGAACAUAAAUAUAAUCUAAAUAUUUUUUUGGUUUACAAAAAUACGAAGUCAUAUGUUCUUAAUCCACAACACAACAAAAUACAAAAAUGAAAUACAAAAACAUAAGUCAUGUGCAAUCUUAAUCCACAAGUACGUGCAGACUUGACUUGUGCGCUUUCUUUCCAGUUCUUGAUCUAAAUAUACCAGUUGUACCUAAAUAAACGAUUGCAUACAAUAUGAUACAUAUAAAUGAAAAGCUUAAUCGAAAACAUAAGUCAUGUGUUGCCAUGGGCAUUAGUCACUAACAUAAUCAUAUGAUUUAAUCUUUUUGCAUCUACCCAAAAUCAAGCAAAAAGUAUUACACAAAAUCAAGCAAAAGAGAUGGCAACAUAUCAGUUUCCCAUUCCACAACACAAACCUUGGCACAGUAGGAUCUCUCAACACCAAAAGGAGCUAUAUAAGAUUACAAUGUUUUUUAUUCCAGCCUCUUCAAAUGUGACAUUUAAAACUAACUACUCAUGGAUUUAAGCAGAAUUUGGCAUAAGUUGGUAAAACUCAAGACUGAUGAUACACUGACCUUAAGGCCACUUCGGCGAACACCGUAUCUUACUUUCUUCUCGAAACAUCUAGAAUUCCUCUUCUUCCGAAACCUAUCCAAGGAUUGUGCCCGUUGCGGAAGGUUACAGCGGUUCUGGUAUUCUACAACAUGCUAAAAAUAACAACAAAAUGACAAAGGUGGAAUCGAGAUGAUUCUGCUGAGCUAGUUCCAUCACCUGCGGACCAGGAGCAAGCUCAGUAGAACCACUUAAUGUUCUGUAACAUCCCUACAGCUUAUUCCACCACCCAAAAUGCUAUCAAGAUCAGAGCAAGAUGUAGUAAUGCGCGGCAAAGACUCCUCCUCGUGAAGCAUAUCCCAAGCAUUCUUUGCUCCUUUGUUUGUUAGAAAGUUCAAAAAGAGAAUCCUUCAGUGAAUCAUUUAAGAAGAAAAGCCCAAUGGAGCUCCAAGGAGUUACCAUUUAUGAGAGAACGGCUUCCAUUGCAAGAACUGGAUCCUGAGGAUUGAUUAGCCAGCCUCAAAAUCUCAAAUGCUUCCUCCUCUGUGAUAUUUACAUCUGCUCACACACCAAGUAUAACAAAGAUGACACAUAUUUCCACAAAAAACACACACACAAAUACCUUUGAUCAUCAGCUUGACGAUCUACCUUUGAUCUCUUCUUCUCUGCACACAUGAAGCAGAUACAAUGUCGUGGGGUCACUAUCAUUCAAUCCAAGUCUAACAAGGUUCAAGUAGCAAUCACUACAAUAAAACUUAUACUCAAAGUCUAAAACAAGCCUGAUUUGAUCAAGUAAGCAUCAUAAUCUGAAACAUAUCUAGUUGCCCAGUGAAAUUAAGCUAUCAUGAGCAAUCUGGUUUUACCUCCGGAAGCAUAUACUACUUCAUAUCCAUCUCUCCUUGUUUUCUUUUCACUUCCCCUGAUAUCCUCCUCAUCGUCGUCGACAUCAUCAUCUUCAACAUCGAACUCAUACAACUCUCUACUCCGGACGGCCUUCUUACCCGACCCGGAACCUGGACCCGAAUGAUAGUUGUGGUACGGAACAACACUAGUCUGCCCUGAGACGUGGUGCCUGGGUCCCAAUGGCCCGUCUAGGAUACUCCGAACCGGAAGCAGGAAGUAAAACUCUUUGUCACCAAUCUGCAAAAGGUCUUGUGAAUCGAGCUUGACGUUAGGAUUCCCAGGGAGAUGGAGGACACCUUCAACGAAGCAGCCAUUUUUGCCAAGGACCUCGAGAGAGAAGCGUCGUCUAGUGAAGUCAUAGAAGAUCCGAGCGUGGUUACGCGAAAUGUUCAUCCCGCCGCCGAGAGAUGAGAGAUCAACGUCGACGGUCGCUUUCUUAGAAUUCCGGCCGAGUAUAAUGGAGUAAGACUGCAUAUAGUAUUCGAAAUCCUCACCUUGAAGCUUCGCAAAUCCAACCUCCACAUCGCUUCCGCCUCCAACAGCCGUAGCCAUGACGUGAAAUUCGCCGAUCAAAAAGGAUCAAGACCGUUAGAUUCGAAUCCUCUGUUCCAAUAGCAAGGGAAAAAAUGAGAAAUUAGGAAUUUGAUUUUUGGGUUUUUGGUCUUUUCAUAAUUUUCUGAUUUAAAUUGCUUUAUUUUUAAUUCUCUCAGAAAUAAAAAUUAGAUGAAUGUCAUUCCAGCAUUUUUUUUUUCCAAAAGUGGCUUUCCAGCCAUUGUUUCCAUAAGAAGUGUAUUAAAGUUAAUAACCCUAACUUAAAAUUCGUAAGCUAAAUGUAAGAAAAUCCUUCGUGUCUGAUUUUCAGGUUUGGCUUUCUUCUCCUGCAAAACAGAUCCCAACAAUUCAAAGGUUCGUCUUCUCCUUCUCUUCCACACUCUCUAUCUGCUUCACUUUUGCUCUUUCUUCGCCAAGUAAUUUGCUUUCGACUUCUAAAUUCUCUCAAGUUACUAUUUUUCUCUUCUUUUCUCUCAAAUUUCUUUCUACCAAAAACUGAAAAUGUUUGGGUUUUUGCAAAGUUUUGAUCUUUUCAUGAAAUUGCAAUACUAGAUUGUUAAUCCGAUUUCUGGGUACUCACAUUUCGAAGUUCAAUUGUUCAUUUUUCCUCUUUUUUUUUUUUGGGGUAAAUUUGGUUAGGGUUUGUUUGGUUUUUUUUCAAUUUCUCUCUUGUUUCUCUUGCUCAUGUGGUAAAGAGAUUGAUGAAUCGAGUUGUUUAGUAGCUAUUGUAGUAAAUAUCUCUUGAUUGUUGGAGAAUCGAAAUUUUACUGUGAUAUUUGUUUAGGUAGCAGAGUUCAAUGUUGUAUCAUGUAGAAACUCUAAUUUCAUAGUGUUUGCUUUAGUCUCAGGAGUGGCACUGAACCGAUUGUUGUUUAUGUAUGAUUGUGGUUAUUGAUGGGAGAAACGUUGUUGUGUGCAGAAAAUGAGUAGUUUGGUGGAGCGGCUUCGUUUACGAUCAGAUAGGAAACCGGUUUAUAACCUAGAUGAUUCUGAUGAUGACGACUUCGUUCCUAAAAAAGAUCGGACCUUUGAGCAAGUUGAGGCUAUUGUCAGAACUGAUGCGGUUUGUUUUCUCCUCUUGUGCUUAUUGUUGAGCUUUUACUACUUUAUGUUGUCUAUUUUUAAUUAGGUUGUUACUCUGAAUUUUGUAGAAAGAAAAUGCCUGCCAGGCUUGUGGAGAAAGUGCAAAUCUUGUAAGCUGCAAUACAUGUACGUAUGCGUUCCAUGCUAAAUGCUUAGUUCCGCCUCUUAAAGACGCGUCUGUGGAAAAUUGGAGAUGCCCUGAAUGCGUAAGAUUAAGUUAUUGUCCACAAUUAUGUUUUAGGUGGUUGUAGGUUUCAUUUUCUUACAUGGAAGUAUUUUUUUUAUUUAUUUAUUUGCAGGUUAGUCCUCUUAAUGAGAUAGAUAAGAUAUUGGACUGUGAAAUGCGUCCUACAAAAUCUAGUGAACAAGGUUCCUCCGAUGCGGCACCAAAGCCUAUUUUUGUGAAACAGUAUCUCGUGAAGUGGAAGGGAUUAUCAUACCUUCACUGCUCUUGGUAGUUACUGCAUGUUUUUUUUUUCUUGUCUAUAUGUCUGGACAUGCUAAUUAUCAAUGUUACCUGUCUGUGAACAUUAUAACACAUGAUUUAUUUCCUUUUACCAAUCAUAGGGUGCCUGAGAAGGAGUUCCAGAAGGCUUAUAAGUCAAAUCAUCGUUUAAAAACCAGGGUGAACAAUUUUCACCGUCAAAUGGAAUCUGUCAAUAACAGUGAAGAUGAUUUUGUUGCCAUUCGUCCUGAGUGGACAACUGUUGAUCGGAUUCUUGCCUGCAGGUCUAGUGAAUGGAAUUAAUUCCUUUAUUUAUAUAUCUGCCAACUUUUUUUUAUACUUCUUUUCACCAUAGUCCAUUCUCUAAUUAACACGUAUCUUUGAUAGAGUGCUGCUUUAUCAAAAUACAUUUAGAUGUUUUUGCUUCGAAAUUUACUCUCUAUAAGAAAGAAGCGUUUAUGAAGUUUUUGGGUGUCUAUGAAACAUGAUAAAUGACCUGCUUACCUUUCUUUUUCUUAGUUGUUUCAUUAAUCAAGAUUUGUGACAGUUGCAUUGUUUUCUUUUAUGAUAUAGAGAGGAAGAUGGUGAGCUGGAAUAUCUUGUGAAAUAUAAAGAGCUAUCUUAUGAUGAAUGUUAUUGGGAGUCAGAAUCAGACAUCUCUACCUUCCAGAAUGAAAUUCAAAGGUUCAAGGAUGUAAAUUCUAGAACUCGCAGGGGUAAAGAUGUUGACCAUAAAAGAAAUCCCAGAGACUUUCAACAUUUUGAUCAUACUCCUGAAUUCCUCAAAGGUAUUUGGAUCACUUUAAAUCUUAUACUAUAAAUGUUUCCCAUCUUUGGUACUUAUAGACGCUAUGAUUUAUUUGUUUUCUGCUAUCGAAGGCUUGUUGCAUCCAUACCAGCUUGAGGGACUUAAUUUUUUGCGGUUCUCGUGGUCAAAACAGACGCAUGUAAUCCUUGCUGAUGAAAUGGGACUAGGUAAUUUUUCAAUUGUCCCACCUGGGUGGUCACAUAGAUCUUUUCAUCUAUUGUGAUGGACCUUUGUUUUCUAUUUCUGUAAUGUUGUGGGAUUUUUCCUGUUACAGGCAAAACAAUUCAAAGCAUUGCCCUUUUAGCUUCACUUUUUGAGGAGAACCUCAUUCCGCAUUUGGUAAUUGCUCCUCUAUCGACUCUGCGUAACUGGGAGAGAGAGUUUGCCACAUGGGCCCCACAGAUGAAUGUGGUAUGUAUGCAAUUAUACACGCAAUGAUUUGUGCCAUUAGUAUGUUUUUGUUGUUUGUUAAUGAAUUGGUCUUCGUGGUCAUAUGACGGGUAGGUUAUGUAUUUUGGCACUUCGCAAGCUCGAGCAGUUAUCAGAGAACAUGAGUUUUACUUUUCGAAAGAUAAAAAAAAAAUCAAGAAAAAGAAAUCUGGACAAAUCAGUAGCGAAAGCAAGCAAAAAAGAAUCAAGUUUGACGUCCUCCUCACAUCGUAUGAGAUGAUCAACCUAGAUACAGCAGUUCUGAAACCAAUUAAGUGGGAGUGCAUGGUAACUCUUAUUCCCUAACAAGGCAUUACUUUCUCUUAGUCGCCUCUCUUUCUCUCUUACAUGUAGCUUACUAACAAUUUUUUUUUGGUCAGAUUGUUGAUGAAGGUCAUCGACUGAAAAAUAAGGAUUCAAAGCUGUUCUCUUCAUUGACACAGUAUUUAAGUAAUCAUCGUAUUCUUCUGACAGGAACACCACUUCAGGUUCGUCAUUUGGUUUUGAUUCCUGAAGUUUAUACUUUCAAUAGUUGUAUCUGAGCAUAGUAGCUACGAUUUGCAAUGAGAGUUGUUAUAUAUUAUCCUGCAGUAAUGUCUUACCUGAUUAGUUGCAAUAUGUUACUGAUGAUUAUGUGGUGCCUUUACAGAACAACUUGGAUGAACUUUUCAUGCUCAUGCAUUUUCUUGAUGCGGGGAAGGUAGCGCAAGGAUAGCAAAGAUAAAUAAGUUCACAUACUUAACAGAAUUUUAUGUAGCUAACAUUUUAUUUGAUUGCACAAUACUUGCAGUUUGGAAGUUUGGAGGAGUUCCAGGAGGAGUUCAAAGAUAUUAAUCAAGAGGAACAGAUCUCAAGAUUGCACAAAAUGUUGGCUCCACAUUUGCUCAGAAGUAUUUACCAAAACUUUUUGUUCAUCCUUUUUGAUUUAUAUGUGUUUCAAAAGUUUGAUUGGAUGUAAUCUUUCAGAGUAAUAAUUUUAUGAUCUUAACUAUGCUGUGUCGUAUUUUGAUUGCUCUUGCAGGGGUAAAAAAAGACGUAAUGAAAGACAUGCCCCCCAAAAAGGAACUCAUUUUGCGUGUUGAUCUGAGCAGCCUGCAGAAAGAAUAUUACAAAGCUAUUUUUACCCGUAAUUAUCAAGUAUUGACUAAAAAGGGAGGUGCUCAAGUAAGUUCUUUUUAAUUUUUGUUUACUCUUUUUGGAUCCAUAUACCUCAUAGGUUGGGUAGAAAUCAGGUCCACUGUAAUCGUCUGGUAAUUGUAUUGGUCUAAUUCUGUUUCAGAUUUCCCUUAAUAACAUUAUGAUGGAAUUACGAAAAGUAUGCUGCCAUCCUUAUAUGCUGGAGGGUGUUGAGCCAGCUAUUCAUGACGCUAAUGAAGCCUUCAAGUAAUAUCUCAUUUUCCAAACUGGUUAUCUGAAUUUGUUUAUUACUACUUAUCAAAGUCGUCUGCUAACUUUUGCAUUAACAUUUUCUUAUAUGUAUCAAAGACAACUUUUGGAAUCUUGUGGAAAGCUGCAACUUCUAGAUAAAAUGAUGGUCAAACUGAAAGAGCAAGGACACAGAGUCCUAAUAUACACACAGUUUCAGCACAUGCUGGACUUACUUGAAGACUACUGUUCCUAUAAGGUAUUUGAACUUCUUAUAUGUACAGUCUGUCUCAGUAGAUUUUCAUUCUUGUUUUUUUUUGUUGACUACCAUUGACACCUAUAGAAUCAACUCUACCAUUUUCUAGUGGUAGAGUCCUUCAGCACAAUUAUGGAAUGACAAGCAUGUACUGAAACUGAGAGUAUAUGGGCACUGUGUCCAACUGAAAGAGAAAAGACACAAAGUUUCCUUAUAAAUACAGUACAAAUCACAAGUUCAGCCAUCUUAUAUGUACAGUAAUCUUCCAAUAGGUCUAGCAUGUGCUGAAACUGUGUGUUGUGUGUACAAUGUUCUCAUAUACACACAGUUUCAGCACAUGCUGGAUCUACUUGAAGACUACUGUUCUUAUAAGGUACUGAACUUGUUAUCUGUACUGUGUAUAUAUGAGAUCUCUGUAUUCUUGCUCUUUUAGUUUGACACUUUGUUCUCAUAUACACUCGGUUUCAGCACAUGCUUGACUUACUUGCUUGUAUUUCCAUAAUUGCCCCUAAGGACUCUAUCUUGAAAAAGGCAGAGUUGAUUCUAUAGAUAGGUGCAAUUACUUUGUUAGACUUUUUGGCAUAACUUGCUCUGUUGGCAAUAUAACUUCUUUUUUAACAAAAAAAGAUUACUUUUUUUUGGUUUUUUUGAAAUGCCAUUAUCAUUACCAUUACUGACGCAUGCACUUGAGACUACUUGUUUUUUUCUCUUUCUAUCACAUUUUUUUUACAUGCAGUUAAGGAAAAUCCUCAUAUGAUUUGUGCUGUUCAUUUUUGUCUUUGUCAGAAAUGGAACUAUGAGCGAAUUGAUGGAAAGGUUGGCGGAGCUGAGCGGCAAAUACGCAUAGAUCGGUUCAAUGCCAAAAACUCUAACAAAUUUUGUUUUUUGCUCUCCACAAGAGCUGGUGGCUUAGGAAUAAAUCUUGCAACGGCUGAUACAGUAAUAAUUUAUGACAGGUUUGAAUCUCAGCUUCUCUUAGUGUCACCUGUAAGCUUUCCAUAGUUAUUGUGUC